UAGGAUUGUUGUCUUAAGCGAUGUACACACCGAGUAGAGCCAACGAAGAGUCAGCUGAUGGCAUGGUGUGUUGUGCAACCAUUGCCCACGGUCACUGCAGGAAAAGAAUGAACGUGUAGUACGGAAAGCCCUCCAAAAUCUGUGUUACUAAAGAAUUUGUGUCAGCAGAAAUGAGUGGACAAGUAAACUUUGGAGUGAGUGAGGAAGACCAAAGGAGGACACCAGAAGAAAGUCCCACUCAAAGUCCUAGCUUAUCAAGUCCAACAUUCCCCACAAAUACAGUUUCUGGUGCAACAGAAAACUCAUACCUCACUUCCAAUGCAGAAUUUGAGACAUACUUUAACAAUGAUAGAAUCCUUAUCCCAGAAUCUGAAAAUAAAUUGUUCAGCUUCCGCAAGUUGUGGGCGUUCACAGGCCCGGGAUUCCUCAUGAGCAUUGCUUACUUGGAUCCAGGGAACAUUGAGUCCGACCUGCAAUCUGGAGCAGCUGCCAGCUACAAGCUGUUAUGGGUGCUGAUGUGGGCUACCGUGCUGGGUCUAGUGAUGCAACGCCUCUCAGCUCGACUGGGUACAGUGACAGGUCUGCAUUUGGCUGAGGUGUGUUACCGCUACUAUCCCAAGGUACCACGGCUCCUGCUCUGGAUCAUGGUAGAGAUAGCAAUCAUUGGUUCAGACAUGCAGGAGGUGAUUGGCACCUCCAUUGCUCUCUACCUCCUCUCCAAUAAGGCCAUCCCUCUCUGGGGUGGUGUACUCCUCACCGUGGCUGACACCUUCACUUUCCUCUCGCUGGACCGCUAUGGCCUGCGUAAGUUGGAGGCAUUCUUUGGAUUCCUCAUUACUGUCAUGGCCAUCACAUUUGGUUAUCAGUAUGGGGUGUCAAAGCCAGACCAAGUGGAGGUACUCAAGGGCCUGUUUGUGCCUGGGUGCUCAGGAUGUGACAACCGGGCACUGUUGCAGGCUGUGGGUAUUGUUGGGGCCGUCAUCAUGCCUCACAACCUUUACCUUCAUUCUGCUCUUGUCAAGUCACGGGAAGUGGACCGCACCAAGAAGGAGGAAGUGCGAGAAGCCAACAAGUAUUUCUUCAUUGAGGCGUGUAUUGCUCUCCUCACCUCCUUCAUCAUUAAUGUGUUCGUUGUCUCUGUCUUUGCCAAGGGUCUCUUCGGAGUUACUAAUCAUGAAGUGCAUGAGCGGUGUGUCUCCAUGAACAACACCCAUUCUGAUGUUUUCCAAGAUAAUGAUGAGCUUGUGGACGCAGAUCUUUACAAGGCGGGAGUGUUUUUGGGAUGCACAUAUGGCGUUGCCUGCAUGUAUAUAUGGGCUGUGGGCAUCUUGGCAGCUGGACAGAGUUCCACCAUGACUGGCACUUAUGUGGGACAAUUUGCCAUGGAGGGCUUCUUGAAUUUGCGUUGGAAGAGAUGGCAGAGAGUUCUUUUGACACGAACCAUUGCCAUCACUCCCACCUUCUUCAUUGCAUUCUAUCAGGACAUCAACGACCUCACUGGAAUGAAUGACCUACUGAAUGCUGUCAUGUCGCUCCAGUUGCCCUUUGCCCUCAUUCCCACCAUCACCUUCACCUCGGCACACAAAGUCAUGGGGGACUUCAAGAAUGGAAUAUUCACCAGAGUUCUGGCAUCCCUCCUCUCACUGGUGAUCAUUGCCAUUAACUUGUGGUUUGUCAUCAACUUCCUCAAUACAACACUGAAUGGCCAGUGGUGGGCAUACAUGUUAGUGGUGUGCUGUGGUAUCUUCUACUUCAGCCUCAUCAUUUAUCUGACAGUCUUCUUGGUGGCAGCAUUCGGCAUCAACCUCAGCUGCAACAUUCCGCUGCCUGGAUUUUCAACUUUGGAUGAUAUUAGCCCUACCUUGCAACACAGCUUUGAGGGAUCAUAUCCAAGCAUUUAGAACAAACAGCUUACUUCCUGGACCUGAAAGACGGGAUGCCAGAAACUGCCACUAUGCCACAACACAUCAGAAUGGAGGACUCCAAUUGAUUCUCAGGAGCAGGACCAUGAUUUAUACCUUUUGCUGAGGCUGAAAUACACACACCCGUGGAGCUGCUGUGAUAGAUAAAGAGGAGACGUGCUAUGAAGUAUGUUGUCUUAAUCAUUGUUUGCAUCUCUGACUGCAGCUUGUGAUAUACCAAAGGUUGUUGCAGGCUGAUAAUAUUGCAGGCAUGUUUUUGAGAUGAAGAUUCGUUCAAUCCCUAAAAUGAUUUCAAUAUAUUUUAUUCAUAUUGCUUCUUUACAUCAUGCAUAUUAUGAUCAAUAUAUUUUAUUCAUAUUGCUUCUUUACAUCAUGCAUAUUAUGAUAUACAUAUUAUAAUGAUACAAACAAACAUUUUAUAUAUCAAUUCUUUACUUUUUUGAUAUGAUGGUUUUAUUAUCAGAAUUUGUGUUAGUAUUGUACAUAUAGUCACAAUUGAAUGUAUGUUAGAUAUUAAUUGAGACAGAGAUGACUGGAAUAAGGCUUCUUGAGGAGAAAACAGAAUCCAAACUAUUUAUUGGUACUUAGGCUGAAAAAUUACUUGCUUCAUUCAUCAUCCCAAAAGCACUUGUCACUCCCUGACUUAUGGCCUCGCUGCCUCUGAUGGGUGGCAUUGGAUGGAAAUCGAUUUGGAUUUGAAAGAUGAUUUAUUGUAUUGGGUCACCAUGGUACAGUGGAACCAGGCGCACUUUGGGAGCCGAGAGAUCCCUAAACGCACGGGUUCGAAUCCUGGCCAUGGUCUGAGUGUAGGAAGGGCUUCCUUACUCGGAGUAACAGUUCCGUAAUGGGUGGGCUUUAGUCCAUAAAUUUCUGUGAAAAGCCCACAUUAUAUGAAAAAAAUUGUGCAUCCCUGUAAUUAGAAAAAUGUUUACAAGCCAAUAUAAGAAUGUUAAAUUAUUUUCUCUGUACUCAUAUUGUUCACAGCUAUGCAUCUCUUGGCUAAUGCUGAGAGACACUGUUAUGAAGCAUUGUUGAUAUUUAUAUCACCACUGAAAUCAUCUCAGUUUACCAAUUACUGAUACAUAAUAAGGAAUUAUUAGGAUUUUGAAAAUGCUUAAAGUUAAGAUCAAUUAUCACUUAUAACAUGUGCUUUGAUCAGAGGAAAUGAGAGGGAAAUAAAGGCAGUAGGAUUGAGCAACAAAAAAUUAGUCUCAUGAUAGUGAAUGGAACAGACUUGGCUUCCAGGAGCAUAGAGCCUCACACCUAAAGGCUGUCAUAGGGGGCCAAAUAUACUCCAUAUAUACUAACAACUCUAUGGUGCAUAUCAGUUUUGUAUAUGCAUAUAUGAGUGAUAGUAAGAUGUAGAGAAUCUUUACUUAUUACCAUAUAGCAUUUCAUGUUUUUCCUUUUUUUUUUUCAUACAUAAGGCCCAACAUAGAGAAGGAUAUAUAAACACUGGUUUUAUUGUCUCAAAACUCACAAAGUGGUCAGCAAAGUCCAAUUUUACAAGGAGAAGGAUACACAAGCAUUGCUUUUGUGGUAUCUUAUACAUAUGUACUAUGCAGAAACACUUUUUACAAAUACCAGUGGUAGAUGGUGUGAAAAACAAACCUGAAGUAAAGUAAACACUAAUAGUAUGGAUGAACCAAACAGCUGUAUGGCCUUGCAAGCUCAGCAACACAUACAUCACAACAUGAAAUACUAUUCUUUGAUCAUAGUUUCUAUGGUAAUAAUAUUCUCUUCUUAGUAUCAUCCUUAGCAACCAAUUUCUUGGACAACCUUGUCACUUUGUAAAUAAAGUGAACUUUACAUGAAAAGAAAACAAAACAGAGAACAUACUGAAGAGCACAAGUGAAUGAGAAUAUGACUGCAUGACUGUUCCAUCACUAGAGUACAGUGCUGAAUGAGAGGGAGUGAAGCAGCAUGGUCAGGCAUCUCUGAUUGCUGCAGUCCACCUAGAGGAAAACAAAAAAUGGAUCCUCUCUCUGUUCAAAUGGUGCUUAUAACCAAAAGUAUAUCUUAAAUUAUCUUUUACUUAUAAUAACCAGAGGCACUUGUAACAAUAUUCAUCACUACAGAUGUAAUUAAAAUUACAUCUGUAGUGAUGAAUAUUGUGCUACAGCCUUUUCCUGCACUACUCCCUACUCUUCAGCAUCACCAACACAAUUGCCAAGGCUGCACAUGCUUUGCCAUAAAUUGGCAGAUGCAGAUUCUGAAGGCUUUUUCUAAGAAGAAAAAAAAAAAAAAAGCAUAGAUUCACUUGAUUCACUUUCACUAUCAGUCAGUGUUAUUGUUGGUACCUUGUAUCUUUGUGAAACACUAGGAGAAAUUUGUCUCUGCUGUAGAUAAACUACCAGUGAACAGUGUCUUCACAUUUCCUGUCACUAGACAUAGUCUUGUUGAUGAAAACUAGUACAGUACUCUCAGAAUAGAGCAGUAAUGCAGAUUACAAGUGAAUAUAUGUUUUGCAUGGGAGAUAAACAGACUCAGAAUGAGGACCUGCCUCACUACACUCCACUUGAACACACUAGCUGGGGAUGAUGCCAAGAGAAGCAGAACACACCUGACACCUGUUAUCAAUCAUACACUGUCAUAUGUACAAUCUAAUGGUAUUUGUGUAUUAAUCCUUGACUUGGCUUUGUGAAAUACAGAGAGAGCUAUUUGAGGCUAAAAGUUGUGCAUUACGUGACUAUUCAGUCUUGUCAGUGGAAUUUGUCAUCCACCACAAGCUUUGGGUAACUUCAUUUCAAUUUUUAAGGUGUUGACACUUGGGAAUCAUUCCCCAUGUGGGACCUCAUGUAUGUAUACAUUGCAGGUUUUUAUAUUGUCAGAUGUCAGUAUUUGAAUCUGUAGCAGAAAAAAGUAGUGUGACCCAUGAUUAUUAUUUUAGAUAUCUGAAGCUAACCUGACAUACUGAGGUAGCUUGAUAAUUAUGCAGAGAAUGGGAAAGAAGAUUACUUGAAGUCUUUGUGAAGUAGAUCCUGUUAUUGCAUAACAAAGUGUUCUCUAUAAGUAAGGAAGAUGUUAUUGUAAUAUUUCACAAUGAUAAAAAGAGUGGACGAAUGAAAGGAUUGCCAUGUUUUUGUACUGGAGCAGUCGAACAUAUUGCUGCCACUCUUGAGGAAGUCCUGCAGAGCAUGUAUGAAAAUAAGUAGAAAGAUAGUCAUUCCUAAUAUCAAGAUUUUAAAAAGGCCUUUAUGUGAUGAGAGUGAGUGGAGCUGAUGUUGAAAUUUUAGAGGAUGAUUAUUCAGUGUUUAUUUGAAUUUUAAUAAUAAAUUUAAACUUAUUCAGUGUUGGCACCAAAUUAAGCAUGCUGUUUUAUAUCAAAACUCAGAAUACAUUGUUGUGCCUUAAGCCAGUUUUGCUAGUUUGAUAUUGAUAAGGGUUCAGUGGAUUACUACCUUAUCCUUACAUGGUGCUUCGAUGUUACUUUGAAAAUAAGGAAUACUGACCAUCUCAGUAAAAUAUAAACAUGUUUGUGCUUAGGCUUGAUAAUUUUUUAUGCUAGUCUUGUUAGUAUUUUUGAUAUUGGCAAUAGUAUGUAGCAUGUUGACUUAUUAUUAUUUUUCGAGGUCCUCUUAAAGAUAAUUAUAUAUGACUUGUAAGUAUUUUCAGUUCCUGUGAAGCUCUGUUCAUGAAGCACUUCAGCUUUCACAAUUUUACUACAAAGUGCUCAUGGAAGCCAACUUUCUGUAAGUACAGUACAUGUACUUUAAUGUUUUUCAUGUCUUUUGUGAUGCAAACUUUUGUUUAGUAACAUUUAGGCUAGCUUCAUCCCAUCACCAAGACCUAUAUUGGAUAUUUUUGUACCAGUGAUUAGUUUGGCUUUGUGAUGGAAUUUGUUGGUAGAGAUACUCAUGUAUUUGAAUCUUCUAACUUAGCACAUAGGAGUUCCUGGUCUAAGUUAUUUCCUUGAAUCUUUAUUGGUGAAUCUUUCUGUUCAUGCAAGGCUGAUCCUUGUCUGAAUUGCUCUAUACUUUGUGCAGGGAAGUUCCUUGUCAAAGUUCCUCUGCUCUUGAAUCUUCUGACUAGUACAAGGGAGAUCCUUGACUAAAACUCAGGACAAGGCAGUUUUUUUGUCAAACUUUUAUUAGUGCUAAAUAAUUUUAAGUGAUAGAAAACCCUUUACAAAAUAAAUUUGUUAUUUACUAUUUUAUACCAUAUAGUACACCAAUACUACCAAUAGGAGCUGGGGGAUGGUUGCCUGUGUGUGUGUGCAACACCUCUGCUGGCUGGUUCAGAUUAUUUUCAUGUUCACUAUUGAAGAGAGAGAGAGAGAGAGAGAGAGAGAGAGAGAGAGAGAGAGAGAGAGAGAGAGAAAACUGCAGAAAGUCUGUGGACAACUGCUUUACCUGUUGUCUGAUAUAAGUAAUGAUAUUGCAAAAAUAGUACCACUUCUGACUAUCUUUUCAUUAUUUAUCAUAUUUCCCUCAGGUAUGAUGACUCUAUAGCAUGGCUUAGUAUGGGUAUGCUGUGAGUGAGUCCUUCAAUAAGUAAUCCAAACCUUUUUGUUGUUUUUGUGCCUUUUUUUUAGGGAUGGGACAUUAUGUGACUGAAGUGUCCUUUUCAUCACAUUCCCUGCAUUCCUGAUGGAGUUAAGAUUAGAAAUGUUGCUCGGCUUCUGCGAGGUGUCUGUGGUGGUCAGAGAACCAUUUGGUAACUCUCUUGGUCUUGCUAUAUGGUGUGCAGUUGUGUAUACAGUCUGUUCUGUGAGAAAAGUCACUUACAGAAAUGAAAGACCAGGUCAUUGUAAGUCAUAAGUAUUCUGCAGUUAAACAAAUGCUAUUAUCACCAUAGUUUAUAAGUUACAAUACUCAAAUAUGAAUGUACAUACACCAGUGGCAAAGUGGCUCCCCAGUCCCUUUCUGCACUGUCAGUCUGAUCACUCUUGCCAUGUGAAAUUUGUUACAGCAUAGCUAUUAUUUGCUACAUUAAUACACCACAUUUUUUAAUCUCAUUUUAUUUUCAUUUACAAAGUUCUUGCUGUGUAAUCCCAAGUGGCAACCUCAAGAUGGCAACAUGUAGCAUUCCUUCCUCCAUCCCUCUCUGCUAACUCUUACCAUGUUCAUAUUUAAACAUUUCGUAACUUAUAAACCAUUAGACCAUAUAGUAUUUCUGACAUAGAUGACUUCUUUCACCUCUGUGAAUAUGUGAAUAUUCUCUUCAUGGAUGGCACAACUGUAACUUAUUGAAAUGAAGCUUGAUGGUCUUAGCACUCAACAGUGCAUUGGGUUUGCCCUUGCCUGCAAAUCUGUUGGCCGUUGUUUGACUAAAAUAAGGCAGUUGGUGCACAGCUCACCCAGUUAUUCCUUCUUCGGAUUUGUUGAUAAAUUGGAAAACUUGGAGAACAUAGAGUAACCUAACCUAACCUAACCUAACAGCUUUAGUAUGUGUUCCCAGUCUUACCUUGGUAGUCUCCAAGUUUCCAUUUACAUUGGGCAUCAUUUUUUUGUAUAUUUGAAAAGGAAGAACCAAUCUACCAUUACCACUCUAACUACUGAAACAUUGCCAUAUCAGAGCAGAAUCAGGAUGUUGAGCUCUGCAGAUCUUUCAAGUGUGUGUGUGUGUGUGUGUGUGUGUGUGUGUGUGUGUGUGUGUGUGUGUGUGUGUGUGUGUGUGUGUAUGUGUGAAUAGUAUGGGGAAUUGAACAGCUGCCAUAAUUGUAUUGAUUAUUAUAAAGGUGAUCUUACUGGCAUGAGUGUGUGUCUGAGACCAUCCCUGGGCCACCAUAUAUUUAAUUUUCCAUCAUUUUUAUGUAUGUGGGAAAGGAGAGACAAGUUCAUGUGUACCUGGUGGGUAGCAGUGCUGUGACAGGCCAGCAUGGCCCUUCAAAACGGUGACUCUUCUGGUGGUGGUAUUAUAUUAUCAUUACUGUUAUUAUUAUUAUUAUUAUUAUUAUUAUUAUUAUUAUUAUUAUUAUUAUUAUUAUUAUUAUUACUAUUAUUAUUAUCAUUAUUCUUAUUAUUAUUUUGAUUAUUAUUAUUAUUAUUAUUAUUAUUAUUAUUAUUAUUAUUAUUAUUAUUAUUAUUACUACUAUUAUCAUUAUUAUUAUUAUCAAUGUUGUUGUUGCUGUUAUUAUUAUUACUAUUAUUAUCAUCAUUAUGAAGCUCAAUCUCUUUUUUGUUAAGAAUUGUUACAAACAUAUAUUGCAGUCACUACUACUACUACUACUGCUACUGCUACUGCUACUACUACUACUACUACUACUACUACUACUACUACUACUACUACUACUACUACUACUACUACUACUACUUUCAAUUUCUUAGGUGCCUUAUGCAGAGAAGAACAAUCUUUUUUUAUUAUUUUUUAAUAUAUGUAUGUAUUUAUUUGCUUACUGUUAAUGGUUCAGAAACAUAUGCUUUAUGAAUUUAUUUAUUUUUUGGUAGUACAUUUUAAUUUUACUAAGUUCUAAUAUUUUUAGUAAGUUAUGUUCACUGUAAAACCAGAUGUAGCUAUGCCUCUUAUCAAACGUAACAUUGUACAUCUAUCAUGUUACUAAUGUUUCAAUAAACUUUGUGUUAUCAGUAGUAAUUAUAUGAAGAAUAUAUUUACUUUUGCAUUUGCAGACAUACAGAAUUUUGUAGUGGUUGAGUGUGAUCUAUUUUCUUUUCAUUGUAGUGGUGUAGAAAGGCAUGUUUUUUUUCUCCUCUUUUAUAUAGUAUAAUAAUUUAGAAAACAUAAUCAUAGUGCAGUACAUGAAGGUGUUGGUUUGGAAGUGACAUAAGCCUGGUGGCUGAAGGCAAUUGUACAUAUCUAUCCAAGUGCACUGCUCAUGAAAACACUCCCUAUUACUGAUGAGAGCUUGACCACAUAAACAGUGACACAUUCACUAACAUGAAAGCUGAAAUCUUUACAUCCAUUACUGAUGCUAAUGCUUCAAGUGUUUUCUUUAAAGUUACAGGCAUUUUCAGUCUAAUGCUAUAGAUGUUUUCACUGCUGGCAGUUUUUUAAUCUAUCCAUAUAGAGCAGCUUGUCUGAUUGAUGAUAAAGGGAGAGAUGGUAGAGUGGUAUUCAUCCAUAAUUAUGGAUUAAGAACUGCCAAUAUAAGCACUGUAUACAAUUACCAAAGACAAUAAUAUAUUGAUUGAGUUGUGUUAGUCUCCUGUCAGUAUAGUUCAUGGACAACAUUAAUGGACAGCUCUGCUCUCUGAAUCUUCUAACAGGGAAUCAUUUUAGUUUGUCUUGUAAAGAAUAAUAGUAUACAUGAUUCAUCUCUUAUGAGAAUUUCUGCUGCUAUCUAUAAGCUUUCAUGUCAAUGUAAAGAUCUCUUUAACGACUGCUUUAAAACUUGCCAGUAAUGGCUCACUCUUUACUAAUUAUUUUCAUAUGUGGGAACUGUCCAGAGUUAAAACUAAAGCUGCCACUUCACCCACACCAACACCAAGUCUGUGAUCUGACAAUAGUUUCAAGCAAGUUUGUCACAUUGAUAAAGUCAUGCAGAGCUGAGGUCUGCACUGCCCUGUCCAGCUUAUCAGCAGCAGGACCACUGUGUGGGAAAGCCACUAGUGGAAUGUCUCUGUACUCUAGGCCUAAUCAAACAAGUGAAUCUCAUGCAGCAGACACCAGUUGUGCUCUGCAUGUCACCUUGUAAUGUCUUCAAUAAAAAGUGCAUUUGUU
Molecule: RNA transcript, 9542 nt
Organism: Portunus trituberculatus (swimming crab)
Lineage: Eukaryota; Metazoa; Arthropoda; Malacostraca; Decapoda; Portunidae
Gene: Mvl
Gene name: natural resistance-associated macrophage protein 2-like
Exons: 14
Source: RefSeq, a predicted model, not a curated record